AGUGAACGCUGGCGGUAGGCCUAACACAUGCAAGUCGAACGGCAGCACAGUAAGAGCUUGCUCUUACGGGUGGCGAGUGGCGGACGGGUGAGGAAUACAUCGGAAUCUACUUUUUCGUGGGGGAUAACGUAGGGAAACUUACGCUAAUACCGCAUACGACCUACGGGUGAAAGCAGGGGAUCUUCGGACCUUGCGCGAUUGAAUGAGCCGAUGUCGGAUUAGCUAGUUGGCGGGGUAAAGGCCCACCAAGGCGACGAUCCGUAGCUGGUCUGAGAGGAUGAUCAGCCACCCUGGAACUGAGACACGGUCCAGACUCCUACGGGAGGCAGCAGUGGGGAAUAUUGGACAAUGGGCGCAAGCCUGAUCCAGCCAUACCGCGUGGGUGAAGAAGGCCUUCGGGUUGUAAAGUCCUUUUGUUGGGAAAGAAAAGCAGCAGGUUAAUACCCCGCUGUUCUGACGGUACCCAAAGAAUAAGCACCGGCUAACUUCGUG
This 492-nucleotide ribosomal RNA is filed under the name uncultured bacterium. Its description in RNAcentral is "partial 16S ribosomal RNA". It matches the Rfam family "Bacterial small subunit ribosomal RNA", at positions 29 to 507 of the family's 1533-position model. The record is from RNAcentral.